RNAcentral lists this ribosomal RNA (266 nucleotides) under Skeletonema costatum. Its description in RNAcentral is "partial Bacterial large subunit ribosomal RNA". It matches the Rfam family "Bacterial large subunit ribosomal RNA", at positions 318 to 612 of the family's 2925-position model. Lineage: Eukaryota; Bacillariophyta; Thalassiosirophyceae; Thalassiosirales; Thalassiosiraceae. The record is from RNAcentral.
AAAAGUUAAAUAAUUUGAAAUAAUUAACUAUAAAAGGUUAAAGUCCUGUAAGCUUUUGCGUAUAUUUGUAGUAGAAGAGAUUUCGAGGAGAUCUCUUUGAAUAUUGGAGGACCAUACUUCAAACUCUAAAUAUCUUCAUAUGACCGAUAGAAUAAAGUACUGUGAAGGAAAGAUGAAAAGAAUUCUUAGAUGGAAGUGAAAAGAUUUUGAAAUCUAAUACUCUCAACCGACCGAAGUAUUUAUAAUAUGACGGUGUGUCUUUUGUA